UAAUGGAGCUAUAAGUUAAAACUUCAAUUGAAAAUAUAAAAAAGUACAUCACAUGAAUUUAAAUAAGAUUACUUAUAAUUCAAACCUUUAUUUGCGUGCAAUUUACUCUACUUAUUUAAUUAAGGAUAUAUUAUAUUUAAAAAUAAAAACAAAUUAAGGAUGCAUUAUUCUUGUAUCUGUAGCACGUGUUUGUCUUGUUAAAUUAUAGCUUGCAUUUUUAUUUUUCAAUGAACAAAAUCAAUGCUAAGUCAAGGAUGCUUGAGAUCUACAAUUCGGAAAACCGAAAUCCAAACCUUUGGACAUAACAAUAUUUUUCAGUGUUAACAAUGUUUCAAAUGUCAGCCGAUGCUGCUGACAGUUUGGUUAGCAUGUGAUGUGAAUUCUUUUGAA
Molecule: unclassified non-coding RNA, 390 nt
Filed under: Hevea brasiliensis (rubber tree)
Lineage: Eukaryota; Viridiplantae; Streptophyta; Magnoliopsida; Malpighiales; Euphorbiaceae
Source: RNAcentral